GACGAACGCUGGCGGCGUGCUUAACACAUGCAAGUCGAACGGUAAGGCCCUUCGGGGUACACGAGUGGCGAACGGGUGAGUAACACGUGGGUGAUCUGCCCUGCACUUCGGGAUAAGCCUGGGAAACUGGGUUUAAUACCGGAUAGGACUCCUGGCUUCAUGGUUGGGGGUGGAAAGCUUUUUCGGUGUGGGAUGGGCCCGCGGCCUAUCAGCUUGUUGGUGGGGUAAUGGCCUACCAAGGCGACGACGGGUAGCCGGCCUGAGAGGGUGACCGGUCACACUGGGACUGAGGUACGGCCCAGACUCCUACGGGAGGCAGCAGUGAGGAAUAUUCCACAAUGGGGGAAACCCUGAUGGAGCGAUGCCGCGUGCAGGAAGACGCUUUUCGGAGUGUAAACUGCUUUUAAUAGGGAAGAUUAUGACGGUACCUAUAGAAUAAGGACCGGCUAACUACGUGCCAGCAGCCGCAGUAA
Molecule: ribosomal RNA, 473 nt
Filed under: uncultured bacterium
Lineage: Bacteria
Description: partial 16S ribosomal RNA
Rfam family: Bacterial small subunit ribosomal RNA
Source: RNAcentral